Molecule: RNA transcript, 766 nt
Organism: Pyrus x bretschneideri (Chinese white pear)
Lineage: Eukaryota; Viridiplantae; Streptophyta; Magnoliopsida; Rosales; Rosaceae
Exons: 2
Source: RefSeq, a predicted model, not a curated record
ACCUACAACAAGAGAAUGUUGUAAAGCAGUGAUGCUAGUUAAACUUGAUAAAUCUGGAAAAUGGGUCGUUACAAGAGUUGUUAAGGACCAUGCUCAUCCACUUAUAGUUUCUUCCGGGAAUUCUAUGAAGUGCAUUACCUGCAACCUCUGAGUCUGAUUUUCUUUCAAGUAAACAUUCGCAGGACGCUGAGGAUAUGAAGAUUGCGGAACUCACCAUGGACCUGGGGUGUGAAGAGCAAUUAUGUGGACAAUACCAUGAGCUACUACCUACAUUGCUGAAUAAUGUUGAGGAGGAGACGGAACUGAUAGCAACGAAAGUUAGAGGAGUCGUUAACUAUGUAAGAGAAUUUGAGACUGACGUUGAAGGGCUUCCACAAAAUCAAAUGGAGGCCAUAGUUCGAGGGCUUCCUCCAAAUCAAACGGUGACUGAAUCGGGCCACAAUUAGAGACAGAAUUAUGGCUCUGUGCAUACUGGGUGCAUGAGGAUUCGACUGAUGUUCUCCUGGAGAGUAUUCUGACAGACUAACAUACGUACGGCAGAAAUGUCUUGAACCAUAAAAGUUUAGUGAAUGGAAUGCCCUUCAGGCAAAUAGUUGCUUUGGACUCCCAUUGUGCUCGGCCGAGGCCUUAUUGCUGUCGUUCAUAAUUUCUUUAAUUUUCUUUUUUCGGUCCAGGUGUUUUUGGAUCCCUCUUACUGCAGAAACUGGACAACUAUGAUCAUGAUACUGAUAAAGUCUGAUAUAAGAAUUCCUGGCAUUCUAUUUUU